CACGUAUGCAACCUACCCAAAACAGGAGGAUAGCCGGGGAAACUCGAAUUAACCCUCCAUAAUAUAUUUGAGUGGCAUCAUUUGAAUAUUAAAAUACAAGUGGUUUUGGAUGGGCAUGCGUCUGAUUAGUUAGUUGGCGGGGUAACGGCCCACCAAGACGAUGAUCAGUAGGGGAACUGAGAGGUUGAUCCCCCACACUGGCACUGAGAUACGGGCCAGACUCCUACGGGAGGCAGCAGUAGGGAAUAUUGGUCAAUGGGUGAGAGCCUGAACCAGCCAUGCCGCGUGCAGGAAGAAGGCCUUCUGGGUUGUAAACUGCUUUUGCCAGGGGAUAAAAAGACCAUGCGUGGUUUAUUGAAGGUACCUGGUGAAUAAGCACCGGCUAACUACGUGCCAGCAGCCGCGGUAAUACGUAGGGUGCAAGCGUUGUCCGGAUUUAUUGGGUUUAAAGGGUGCGUAGGCGGCCGUGUAAGUCAGUGGUGAAAUACUCUAGCUUAACUAGAGGGGUGCCAAUGAUACUGCAUGGCUUGAGUACAGAUGAG
This 542-nucleotide ribosomal RNA is filed under the name uncultured soil bacterium. Its description in RNAcentral is "bacterial SSU rRNA". It matches the Rfam family "Bacterial small subunit ribosomal RNA", at positions 114 to 656 of the family's 1533-position model. The record is from RNAcentral.